Molecule: long non-coding RNA, 34619 nt
Filed under: Triticum aestivum (bread wheat)
Lineage: Eukaryota; Viridiplantae; Streptophyta; Magnoliopsida; Poales; Poaceae
Description: long non-coding RNA (TAES_LNC023561)
Source: RNAcentral
CUUGCUGAAGUCGAGGCAGGGCACCCACUUGGAGCGGAUCAGGUAGUUGACCUGCGUAAGGAGGGCCUCUAUGGAGAGGGGUGGCAAGUAAGACAGGGUCUCAAACUUCUUCAUGCCCUCGAUCAGCCAAACCCAAUUAGAUGGAUUUAACACAAUUGAUAAACGCUUGAAGCCUAAAUUAAUUAUACUGACAUUUUAAGAAAGACCUAGCCAUAAGGCAAAAAUUACUCCUUAUGGACAUGUCUGCGUUAGUCAACCACUCAACUACCAAUGCAGACCUAAGUGCAAGCCUAUGCCUUGCACUUAAAAGGAAAAAUAGAAUAAUCAUUGGGGUUUAAGAAUUCAAAACAAAGAAAGUCUUGCACGGAUGACCAUUAGGCAAUGGAGAUGGCCUUGUAAUCGAUGCUAACACAAGGAGAAGGCAUCGACAUGCAACUAGGAUGCACACAGACCUAUGAAUAAAUGAAAGCUCUCCCAAGGACUAAGUGGGGGUGCGUCCAACUUGCUUGCUCAUGAAGAGCUAGAGCAUUUGAGCAAUCUCGUCAUGAAGACAUAGAGGGAAAGUUCUAUAAUAUAAAUUCUCCACCUAGUAUAAAACAUAAAGCUCAUGAAACUUUAAUUAGAUGCUAAGACCAACAAAAGAUCUUUAGUAAGGGUCUCUGACAAGAAUAUGCUUCAUCCUAUUUUACUAGGAGAAACCGAUAGAGAUGAUAGUAUUGGCAUGGAAAACAAACCAUAUUUUUUUGUAUUUAUAAGUAAAGAAACUGAAAUUUGUAGCUGCCAAUCAGGGGAUCUUAAUGUCAAAUAUUGAAUUCAUACACCCACUACCUGUGAGACAUAUCCAUUGCAGUGCCAAAUAAAGAAUCUUUUUUGCGAAUUAACAGCAAGACAAUGGUCCGCUUGUUGUAUAUAAUAAUUAUCACACCAGUGUUGUAUAUGUAGCCGGUGCUAGAGUUUACACAUGCAUGCUCCACAACCUAUGUUUGUACAUACACAGAUCAUACAGAACAAAAAUUAUGCUUAGGUCGGAAAGCAGAGUCGUGGAGAAAAGUGAAGUUCACGAAAUAUCAUAUAUAGGCCAUUGUUUUAACUCGUAGUAAGGCCUUGACAGACUCAAAACCAGGUGGCCCGAAGGUGAUGAAGCUGACGCACUACACCUGGCGCAGGUUGUCGAAGCCGAUGAUGCAGACAUAGGCGUCAGGGUACUCCUUCUUGACCUCCUCCACCUCCUUGAGCACCUUCUUGGUGUCGGUGCACCCAAAGAUAGGUAGCUUCCACAUUGUUUAGUAUUAGCGGUCAUAGUACCCAGGGGACCUAUUGCGCUCACGGAAUAUGAAGCCAAUGUUACUGAACUCGAGGCAGGGCACUCACUUGGAGGGGAUCAGGUAGUCGACCUGCUUGAGGAGGGCCUCCAUGGAGAGGGAUGGCAAGUGACAGGAUCUCGAACUUCUUGAUGCCCUCGAUCGGCCAAACCUGAUUAGAUGGAACGAACACAAUUGAUCAACACUUAGUGCUUAAAAUAAUUAUAUUGGCAAUUUAGGAAAGACCUAGCCAUAAGGCAAAAAAUUACACCUUAUGGGCAUGUUUGCAUUAGUCAACCACUCAACUACCUAUGCAGAGCUAAGUGCAAGCCUAUGCCUGACAUUUAAAGCGAAAAUAGAUUAAUAAUUGGAGUUUGAGAAGUAAAACCCAAAGGAAUUAGACUAUAUAUGCGGCUAUUUGAACGUGUGUUCUUAAAAAAAAUUGGGGUUGGAUGUACGAGGGCAGCGUUGGAUAUUUUUUUUUGUGGAAUACCUUCCAACUUCCAUCCUUCUGAAUGGUGUGCCUGGUAGGCCAUUCCAAUGGGAGCCUGGAAUUCAUCUGGGUGACCCACUGUUACUACUUCUAUUUUUCUUGGCAGUGGAUUUACUUCAACCUAUUCUCAGUGACAUGUAUCAUCAUGGGGAGCUAUCUUUUCCAAUUCCAUCUCAUGUUCUAGACUAUCCAAUUGAUCCUCAACUUCUUGACCUAAAAUAAAUUUUACAAUUUUGUCUAAUAUAAAUCCACUCAUUUGAAAGUGAAUUUUCAUAAAUCCUCCAUGGUGCUUAUAAAUAUGAUUGGUGAUGAAGCUUCUUGUUGGCCAGUUUGUUUGAGUAUAAACUGGGUAAGAUGCCUUUCACUUACAUGUUUUACCUAUGGGUAACACUAGGCCCAAGAUGCAUGACUUAAUUCCUUUCGUUGAUAGAAUGAAAAGGACAUUGGCAGCUAGCUCUUCUCUGCUUUCACAAGGUGCUAGGUUGAAACUUUUGAGGUCUGCCAUUUCAUGUGUUCCAAACAACUGAACAUAAUUGAGCAGAAUGUUUCUAGCGUGGCAACGCUGAUAGCCCAAAGCAACCAUUGGCGACAUGUCAUCUGGUAUGUAAACCAAAGGAGAAUGGUGGUAAGGGUAUCAUUAACCGUCAUAUUCGGGACCAAGCUCUGCUUACAAAAUACUUGCGCAAAUUUUAUAACAAAGCUCACGUUCCAUGGGUAAAUUUGAUAUUGAUUUCUUACUAUCAUGGAGUUUUACCAGAUGCAAUAGUCCUUUGUGGCUCCUUCUGGUGGAUGGAUCAGUACAGGGCCAUCUCUUCAAUGGAAAUUAAUAUGAGCGGCUCUGCCCUGUUCUUGUCAGAUGCCUGGUUGAUUGAGGGAUCUUCUCGACGUCUUCGACAUCAUUUGGAAAGGCUCCUUUCUUUGCCUUGGAUGACAACAUUUCUAUUUAAGAUUUUAUAGAAACACUUGAUUGGGCCACUCUUUUACACCUACAAUUACUCCUGAGGCAUUGGAUGAAUUGUAACCUCUGGAUGGUUGGUUACAUAGCCUUCAACGUAACCCAACCUUGCCUUGUUUGUUCUUGGUUAGGAGGAUCAUUUUCUGCCAAGAGCUUCUACUGCAUGAUGCACAAGCACAUGCCCACUGAUGAACCUUGCAAAUGGAUAUGACAAUGCACCAUGAAGAUCAAGAUCUUUGCUUAGAUCCUAUUGCUUUAUUGGUUGAACGCUCGGAACAUGCUUCUUAGAAGGCACUGGCAUUCUCCUCGGGAUGAAACCCAUUGUGCUCACAUGAGGAAAGAGACCACUUAUUAUUCUCCUAUAAUUUGAGUCAAAGGAUUUGGAUUUAUUUGUAGAUUGGUUGGAGCCCUUGACGAAACACUAGACAAUGUAUUGAUGCUGCCUGUAAACGAUUUUGGACACCCUUUGUUUCUUUGAAGUGGUGUUCUCUUGGAACCAAUAUUUAUAUUAUUCGAAAUGGCAAGAUCUUCGUAGUGGAGAGGCCAACCUUUCCCGCUUGGUUUUGUUAAUUUGUACAAGACAUCUCUUCUUGCACAUAGAGUUAAGGCUUGUAUCAAACCAAAGCUCCUCGUUUGGAUUAGUAACCUCCAUUAGAGAAAUAGGUAAGUAGGUAAGUGUUGUUUUUCCUUUUUUCCUUGGUUUCUUUUGUAAAUAUUUUUGCUUCCUUUUGUUUUCAUCGAAUAAAGGACUGUAUAGCUGUUGCUCCAUAGUAGUUCAAAUCCGAGAUUUUUCUUGAUUUUCACAAGUAUGAUUGCAAUCCUUCACAAAUAGCCCAUGCAAAAGUUCCAUAAUAAGUUUUGAAUGCUAUUGUUAUAUCGAGUUCAGUUAGAUGCUUAUUAUACUGACCAACAAAAGUUCUUUAGUAAGGGUCUCUGAGAAGAAUAUUUUUCAUUCUAUUCUACUAGCAAAAACCGAUGAAGAAGAUGAUGGUAGUUACAUGGAAAAGAAACCACAAUUUUUUUGUAUUUUUUUAAACUCAACUUUUGAUUUGAUAUAAGUAAACAAACUGAAAUUUGUAAUUGCCAAUCAGGAAAUCUUAAUGUCAAAUACUGAAUUCUUCCACCAACUAGCUGGGAGACAUAUCCAUUGCAGUGCCAAAUAAAGAAAGUUUUCCGAGAAUUAACAGCAGGACAAUGGUCCGCUUGUUGUAUAUAAUAAAUAUCACACUGGUGUUGUAUAUGUGUAGCCGGUGCUAGAAUUUACAUAUGCAUGCUCCACAACCUAUGUUCGUACAAACACAGAUCAUACCGAAGGAAAAAUAUGCUCUGGUCGGGAAGCAGAGUCCUGGACAAAAGUGAAGUUCACAAAAGACAAUCAUACAUAGGCCAUUGUUUUAACUCGUAGUUUAGGCCUUGCCAGACUCCUCGCAACCCGGUGGCCUGAAUGCGAUGAAGCUGACGCACUGCACCUGGCGCAGGUUGUCGAAGCCGAUGACGCGGACAUAGGCGUCAGGGUACUCCUUCUUGACCUCCUCCACCUCGUUGAGCACCUGCGUGGCGUCGGUGCACCCGAACAUAGGCAGCUUCCACAUUGUCCAGUAUCGACCGUCGUAGUACCCGGAGGAGCUGUUGUGCUCACGGAAGACGAAGCCAACCUUGCUGAACUCGAGGCAGGGCACCCACUUGGAGCGGAUCAGGUAGUCGACCUGCUUCAGGAGGGCCUCCGUGGAGAGGGGUGGCAAGUAAGACAGGGUCUCGAACUUCUUGAUGCCCUCAAUCGGCCACACCUGAAUGAAUGGAAAUUGUGGAAUGCACACAACUGCUUAACACUUGGUGCUAGUAAAUUGUACGUACAGAGGAAGAAACUCAUAUCAGUUUUGUGCCUCGAGUCUCGACAUACCUGCAUGCACCUGAUCCUUCCGCCAUUGCUGACGCGGCCGAGGCUGCCGCUGGAGCGGCGGCUGACGGGGAGACCGGCUGUGGACUUGAGCCCCUGGAAGGGUGCGACGGUGGUAGCCGACGAAGCCAUCACGGCGGGGGCCAUGGUAUUGUAUUAUCGGAGGAGAGGAGGAUGCCGGCUACAGGUGAGGCCACCAUUGCCGGGUCACUACGGUAUAUAUAGCCAGACACUUAGCGUCGUUUCUUUGGUACAGAUGUGGUUGGGGUGGCUGACGUUCUCUGGUUGCCUCGUUUCCUUAUCUUCUCCGGAUCAGUGGAAGAAGCAUGGCCGUCGGAUGCGUUGUGUGUGCUGGAAAUUUCAGUCCUUCAUGUCAUUGGCUGGCUGCCACACAACCUUUUUCCAGCUUUUCUUGUUUUUGGUUUCAUUUAAAGCCAAAAGUUUCUUGAGUACAAAUUUUCUGAGAUGCGACUUGAGUGGUGCGGGCAAAAUAUUUUACAUUUUAUCAUAAGAUCUGAUGGCUCACUCUCUCGAAAGUAUGCCCAUAGGCGUAGAGUGUGCGUGUGUGCAUUUAUAGGGGUUGUUGUACAUGUGUGUAUGUGAACGUCUACAUUUGUACACCGUUUCUCAAAAUAAAAUAUAUGUUUUGUUGGUACAAUUAAUUGAACUAGCAUAGUAACCGUCCACACGCAGAACAAGUUCUUUCCCCUCUCGCAAGGCAACUAUUGAAAGCUUUCCAGCCCUCUAUAUCCGCCAGUGAGCCCGUGGAUCCGCCUCCCCUCUGCCGGAAGGGGGAUUCCUGGUGCCUCAGCUCUGGCUAGUAGAUAAGUAGGGUUUUUAGUCCUCAUAGGUGAGGCUCUUGGACGGAUGGCAGCCCUUCUUCUUCGAGCCAAUCUUUCGGGAUCCGAUCCUCUUCAAGUUCCUCUGUCUAGGGAGCUCCGACGUAGAUUCUUGCCAGCUCCUCAGGCGGCGAGGUUAGGAUUUCUCGUCAUGCGUAUGCACAAUGAAAUUUGUGUCAGGUUCUUUAGAUCGAUUCAGGGAUUCAACGGCGGCGACUGCGGCUCCAGAGCACUAGUCCUUAGGGGCACGUGCAUGAAGACUUCCUGGCUGUCAUCGACAAGGUCAAGGUAGCUCUAGAGUGGGAGCAACGACAACGGUGCUUUAGUGGCUCGUCUCUAUGCGUAGGAACGAAAAGAAAGCCCUAUAUCUCGACUUUUUGACAACUCUCUGUGACAAUGGGAUUGAGCUACUCCAUACCUUGUUUUAAACACUACUGGGUAGGAACGAAAAGCUCUAUAUCUCAACUAUUAACACAUAUGGCUAAAUCUGUACCUUGAAUUAUAGGAUAUGCCAAUCGGUCAGUGGUGGGCGGUCUCUCACAUACAUUGUCUCUCAAGUAGGGCUGCAAAUGAGACGAGUUCGAGCGAGUUGGACUUGACUCAGCUCAACUCAUAUUAAAAUUCGAGCAAGCUCAAACUGAGUGAAGCUCAAGGUCAAGCUGUAGAACAUGACUCAUGCUCAACUUGUAACGAUCUCGAGUCGAUCUCGAGCUAGUUUCGAGUUAAAUGAGAUGAUAAAAUUUAUAAAUUUUAUGACCAUUAUUCCAACUAGAUAAGCACAACAUGACAUAAAAAAGCACAAAAAAUAUUAUUCCAAUCAGAACAAUGAUAAUACAAUUUUCUUUUGAAAUGAUACAAAUUUUGUUAGAAGUAGUUUAACUUAUUCUAUCACAACCGAAAGUCUAGUAUCAACGUAAGAUAACGAUUCACGACAUAUAUAUAAUUGCGAAAACGAAGGUGCAUAUGCUGGGAACUUUUGCUAGAAACAACAAAAUAUUUAACACAUGGUCGACCACAUACCAUAAUAAGGCCUAAAUUUUCUCUACAACUAAUUAAGCUUCGAUGUUUGUUUGUAAAUGAAAUGGAGAAAAAUCCUGGAUGGCACAUAUGGUAUUAAAUUAUCAUAUUUUCAUUUAUUAUAUGGCAUGAUCAUUUAACAUAAUGAUAUUAUGCCGAGCUAUCGAGCUAAAACCGAGCGAGCCAGUAUUGGCUCAAGAUCGGCCCGUUUCUCGACUGAGCUAUAGAAAGUGUUUGUACUCAACUCGUUUCUUUUCAAGUCGAGUCAAAAAUCGAGUCGAUCUCGAGCCGCUCACGAGCCUCAAGCUUUUCUUACAGCCCUACUCUCAAGCAGUGUCAUGUUGAGACAACUCAAUCAUCCUACUUUCCAUCCCAUAUGAGCGGCAGAUAACGGAAAGACAUUAAUAUCACAAGGCCUGGACCGGAGGCAAUAAGUUGUAUGGACAACCAUGAAGCCUAGAAUAAUUAUGUUCCUCUCAUGAUAUCGAUGCCCUGGCACCUGGAGGUCUCUCGAUUUGCGCCUCGAGUUGAACUUCUCCAACUACACCAAUUGAUCGGAUGGCUCCAAUCACUAAAUUACCGCAAGAGUAAAUAAUACCAUGAAGAGGAAAAACAGGAAUAGACGAUGCAUAUCAAAUAACCGCUUACUAGCUGACCGACCCAUAGCCAACGAUUACUCAAAUAACAUCACAUAUAAAAGGGUUUAAGAGUUGUUACAACCCAUUACGGAGACUGUGAUGGGGGACGAGAAGGGGUAUGGGUGAGGGCGGAGUGGCGACGGCGGCGCUUCUCCAGCAUUGCCUCCUUCAAGGUUGCAAUGAUGGAGAUGGAGGCUUGGCACAGCCCUCAAGUGUUUUUUUAUGUCGAUGGCAGCUGGACGUAUGGAUCGUGUCCCCGAGUGGCUAGGGUUGGAGGUGUAUUUAUAAGAACUCUCCCAAAGCCUCCUUCGUUGAUGUAGCAUCUCUACUUUGAUCCAAGUGCUCUACGUGAGCCAAAUAUUUCCCAAAACCUCCCUUGAUGGCAAAGAAAGUAGUAGGAACGAACCGGGACAAAAUCCUCAAAGAAUCCCCGUCUGAAAGGGCAACUUUCGGGCUUGUCUAGGCGUAAUACGAGCACUGGUACAUCCUUUUUUUUAUGUAUCAAAGGUCGUUGAACGCUUUGGACUCUUUGGUAAAACCGCCGUAACUUUUACAUCCGGACUCUAUUUUUGACGUUCAUGUGCUCGUUGGAAUCACGAUAACGGCGCCGAUGCACCUGUGGUAUUACAUAUUGAUUUUGAGCACUUUGGAAAACAACUUUUUUCACUCUCCGAAAUGCCCAAGUCUGGUGUCUCGAUGUCCUUCGUUUGGAUCCUUUUCAUUGUGUUAAGUGCGUGAGAGUUCCACAUUACGUACAAACACACAAAGAAAAAUAAUACUAAUAAGAAUAAAUAUUAUGCAAUGCUCGCGCUGAAAAUGUUAAAUACUGCCAUACUGGAGAUCAUGCAUAUGGACAUGCAAUUGUGGCUCAAUGGCACAUGCUAUACGGAGAUAAUAGGCGACAAAUGAGCUCUAAACGUGUGUAAAAAUAGGUGCCAUCACUUGGAUCAACGAGAUAUUAUCUUGUGGAACACCUUCCAUCCUUUUGAAGGGUGUGCCUAGUAGGUAAUUCCAAUGAAAACAUGGGAUCCACCAGGGUGACCCACCGUUACCACUUCUAUUUUUCUUGGCAGUGGAUUUACUUCAGUCUAUCCUCAGUGACAUGUAUCAUCGUGGGGAGCUCUUUUUUUCAACCCAUCUCAUGAUCUAGACUCUCCAAUUGUGCAGUAUGUUAAUGAUAUGUUGUUGAUUAUGCUGGAUAUUGAUUCUCAGCUUAUUGACCUAAAAGAAAUGUUACAACUUUUGUCUAAAUCCACUUGCUUGAAAGUGAUUUUUUGUAAAUCCUCCAUGGUUCUUAUAAAUGUGAUUGACGAUGAAGCUUCUCAUUGUCCAGUUUGUUUGAGUGUUAACAGGGUAAGAUGCCUUUCACUUACCUGGUUUACCUAUGGUUAACACUAGGCCCAAGAUCUAGGACUUAAUGCCUUUGGUUGAUAUAAUGAAAAUGAAAUUGGCAGCUAGCUCUUCUAUGCUCUCACAAGGUGCUAAAUUGAAACUUUUGAGGUCUGCCAUUUCAUCUAUGCCGAUAUACUAUCUUUGUAGUCUCUAGACUCCCCCUGGAAUUAAACAACUGGAGAGAAUUGAGUAGAAUAUCUCUGGCGUGGCAAUGCUGAUAGCUCAAAUCAACCAUUCGUGAUAUGUCAUCUGGUAUGUAAACCAAAGGAGAAUGGUGGUAUCGGUAUCAUUAACCGUCAUAUUCAAGACCAACCUUUGCUUACAAAACACUUGCGCAAAUUUCAUAAUAAAGCUCAUAUUCCAUGGGUAACUUUGAUAUAGAUUUCUUACUAUCAUGGAGUCAUACCCGACGCAACAGUCCUUUGUGGCUCUUUCUGAUGGAGGGAUAUUUUGGAACUUAACGAUCAGUACAUGGCAAUCUCUUCAAUCAAAGUUAAUAUUGGCAACUUUGCCUUGUUCUUGUCUGAUGCUUGGUUGAUUGAGGGAUUUUCUCUACCUCUUCGACAUCGUUUGGAUAGGCUCUUUUCAUUGCCUUGGAUGACAAAAUUUCUGUUAAAGAUUUUAAAGAAACCCCUGAUCGGGCCACUCUUUUGCACCAGCCAUUUUUUGCUGAGGCGAUGGAUGAAUCGCAACCUCUGGAUGGUUGGUUACACAGCCUUCAGCGAAACCAAACCCUGCCUGAUGUUUGUUCUUGGUAAGGAGGGUCAUUUUCCGCCAAAAUCUUCUACUGCAUGAUGCACAAGCAUAUGCCCACCGAUGAACCUUGCAAAUGGAUAUGACAGAGCACCAUGAAGAUCAAGAUCUUUGCUUAGAUCCUAUUAUUUUAUCAGUUGAACGCUCGGAACAUGCUCCUUAGAAGGCACUGACAUUCUCCUCGGGAUGAAACCCAUUGUGCUCACAUGAGCAAAGAGACCACUUGCUUUUCUCCUAUAAUUUUAGUCAAAGGAUUUGGACUUAUUUACAGAUUGAUUGGAGCCCCAGACGAAACACUAGACAAUGUAUUGAUGCUGCAUGUAGACGAUUUGGACACCCUUUCUUCUUUGAAGUGGUGUUCUCUUGGAACUAAUAUUUGUAUUAUUACAAAUGGCAAGAUCUUCACAGGGGAGAGGCCAUCCUUUCCUGCUUGGUGUUGUAAAUUUGUACAUGACAUCUCUUCUUGUAGAUAGAGUUAAUGCUUACCAAAGCUCCUGGAUUGGAUUAGUAAUCUCCAUUAGAUAAAUAGGUAGGUAGGAAAGUGUUGUUUUUCCUUUUUUCUUGGUUCCCUUUGUAAACAUUUUUUGCUUGCUUUUGUUUUGAUGGAAUAAAGGACUGGAGCUGUUGCUCCAUACUAGUUACAAAAAUCCGAGUUUUUUCUUGAUUUUUCACUAGUAUGAUUACACUCCUUCACAAAGGAGCUCAUGCAAUGCAUGUUGGAGAUUUAUUUCAAUAGUUCCAUAACAUGUUUUGAAUGCUGUUGCUAUCUAGUUCAGUUAGAUGCUUAUUGUCCAGACCAACAAAAGUUCUUUAGUAAGGGUCUCUACAAGAAUAUGUUUCAUCCUAGUCUACUAGCAAAAACCGAUGUAGAUGCUGGUAGUGACAUGGAAAAGAAACCAUAAUCUUUUUGUAUUGAUAAGUAAAGAAACUGAAAUUUGCAACUGCAAAUCAGGGGAUCUUAAUGUCAAAUACUGAAUGCUUCCACAACUAGUUGUGAGACAUAUUCAUUGCAGUGCCAAAUAAAGAAACUUUUCCUGAAUUAAUAACAGCAAGACAAUGGUCCGCGUGUUUGUAUAUAAUAAAUAUCACACAGGUUUUGUAUAUGUGUAGCCGGUUCUAGAAUUUACAUAUGCAUGCUCGAGAACCUAUGUUCGUACAUACACACACAGACCAUAUAGAAUGAAAAAUAUGCUCUGGUCGUCCAGCAGAGUGGUGGACAAAAGUUAAGUUCACAAAAGACCUUCAUACAUAGGCCAUUGUUUCAACUCGUAGUUUAGGCCUUGCCAGACUCCUCGCAACCCGGUGGCCUGAAGGCGAUGAAGCUGACGCACUGCACCUGGCGCAGGUUGUCGAAGCCGAUGACGCGGACAUAGGCGUCAGGGUACUCCUUCUUGACCUCCUCCACCUCGUUGAGCACCUGUGUGGCGUCGGUGCACCCGAACAUAGGCAGCUUCCACAUUGUCCAGUAUCGACCAUCGUAGUACCCGGGGGAGCUGUUGUGCUCACGGAAAACGAAGCCAACCUUGCUGAACUCGAGGCAGGGCACCCACUUGGAGCGGAUCAAGUAGUCGACCUGCUUCAGGAGGGCCUCCGUGGAGAGGGGUGGCAAGUAAGACAGGGUCUCGAACUUCUUGAUGCCCUCAAUCGGCCACACCUGAAUGAAUAGAAUGCGCAGAUGCUCAAUACUUGGUGCUAAGUAAAUUAAUUGUACCAACAAUUCUAGAAAAAUCUGUUGAUGAGCAAAAAAUUGCUCCUGAUGGACAGGUCUCAUAUGCAUUGUUCGUUUGUCCACAAUGAAGAAAGCUUAAGGGUAGCCCUUAAACUGAUGGGCACUCUGAAGGUACUAAGAUAAUUUUAUCUAGUCCAUGCUGCAAUAAAAAGUAUUUCCAUUCACUAAGUUAUGAGUUGAUUGCUUUUACAUACGGAUCCCAGCUUAGGGACAAGGUUGAAUGAGCAUCCAAAGCCAAAUGGUUUCCAUAGGCAACAAAACAAACAGAUAAUAAGGUUUCGGAAUAAUCUGUUGACCAAAUUAUGUUAUAAAUUGGGGAUGUUCUGCAAGUGAAUUACUUGUACUGCCAAAGAAACUCAUGUCAGUUUAAUUAGUGACUGACAUACCUGCAUGCACCUGAUCCUUCCGCCGUUGCUGACGCUGCCGAGGCCGGCGCUGCUGGAGCGGCGGCUGACGGGCAGGCCCGCGGUGGACUUGAGACCCUGGAAGGGUGCGACGGAGGUGGCCGAGGAAGCCAUCACAGUGGGGGCCAUGGUGUUGGAGGAGGGAAGGUGGCAGGCUAAGCUUGAGGCCCCCAUUGCUGGGUCACCACGGUAUAUAUAGCCAUAUAUGGCCAGCUCCUAUCUUUAAUCAAGAUGUGGAAGGGGUGGCUGGCGUUCGUUGGUUGCCUGGUUUCCUUAUCUCUCCGGAUUAGUGUAAGAGGCAUGGCCGUUGGAUGAGUUGUGUGUGCCGAAAAUUUCAGUCGUCCAUGCCAUUGUGUGAUUGCCACAAACCCUUUUUCCAGCCUUGCAUGUACUGUAUUAUUCUUUUCGUUUUAUUUUGCUAAAGGUAACGCUUGAAAGGUGCAGGAAGAACUUCCUUUGCUGAUUUGCGAUUUAAGUUGAGUGGCACAGGCAUAACGAAUGUUAUAGUACAUCCUUUAUCCACUUCUAUAAUACAAACUUGUCAAUCAAUUAUGCUUGCUUGUAACCUUUGGCGCUUCAUUUUAUAAAAUUUUAUACAGGUAACGUACACAUUUGCUGCAUGUGUGAUGUGUGUCAUCAUGACCUUUAUGUCUUUUAUUCACAAUUAUUCAUUGGAACACAAAAGUGUUGUACUGUUUUCUACGCCUAAUCAUUUACAUGCCCUGGAGGAUUUUUAGUAUUGGAAAUGCUAUUUAAUUGGGUGUCCAAGCAAGGUAGAACUUUGUUCUAAUCCACGAGCAAAAGUUUUAGAUCCCUCUGUUGUCCAUUUACUCAGUUCGUGUCGGCCCCAGUGAACUCAUAAAUUACAUAUGGUGAGUCCAUCAUGAUUUUGUAUCAUCGUUGAAUCUAGCCCACAAAAAAGGCAGAUGUAUAUUCAUUCAUUUCAUGGUGAUGAAGCAACCUGCAAAAUGAUGCGAUCGACCAUGACCACUCAGUGAUAUGGCAAUCAUGUAGACGGACAUUGUGAUCAUCUAGUCAUUUAAGAUAGAUGUCGUGAUCUUCUUGUGUGACCGUCUCAUAGAUUUGAGCUGCAAAUCGAAUCUUAUAUUCUUCCAAAAAAAAUUCUGAAUUUCCUGCAUGUAAGAUGAUAAAGCUGAGUUUGUAAUUAAUUAUUUUUUGUGAAUCCUUAAUGAUAAUUAACACGACCCAGAUAUUACAAAAUAUCCAUAAUUAUCAUGACUGAAUCAAUAAAUUACUAUUGCAGAAUGAACCUUCCAUAGGCCCCUCCACUUGGGCCCGCCGGUGGAGAGAUUCAUCACUCAUGGGCCACAAAACGCCAGCCAUGCAGGAGGACCUUCACUAACGGGCCCUUAAGUUGGCAUCAAUGGAGGGUCACCCAUGGGGCCCAUAGAUCCAACUGAAUGGACGGUCCAUCUCUACUGACGGUCGUACCACACCACUCGUCAAUGUUGGGUGGCCCGUCGGUGCUGAAUUAAGGUAUUUCUAUCUACUGGAGACGAAGUGGCCUUAUAUGCGCUUUCUCUUUUCUCCUAAACAAAACCAUGCCGCCGCCCCCAAUCCCUUCAUCCCCAACAUCAUCACCACCCUAUCCAAUGUUUUCGUCUCCUUUCAUGUGUGCCCCCUCCUUCUCCCACAUUGAUCUGGUCCAACGCUACCGUCUCAUCCCGCGAUUAUCGUCAUCUACUCUUCGGUUACUCGUGACGGCGCGGGUUGUGGCUUCCCGCUUGCUCUCUCGUAAGAAUGGUUGGGUAAACCCCAAGUGUAAGGAUGAAGUAACCUAGUAAUAAGUAUUGUCCUCAAUACGUUUCUCAAACCAGUAGGAAUUUCUUCUACAACCCAAAUCCUCGGUACCUGCACACCAAACACAAAACAAUCUUGCCCCAACGUUUCAAGAAGGUUGUCAAUCUUCUUGUCCUACUAGUUACAAGGAUUAGUUGUUAGUUGAAAGCAAAUAUCGGUUGCUAAGUAGCCUUAGUGCGGUUCGCACCUUUAGACCUGCCAUGGCACUGUCAACACUAUACUCGCCAUGCUUAGGGUUCACACUUUUUAUAUACACCAAGAUCAGCCUAGGUGCUUCGUGUCGUACUAGCACUAAUCCAGCCAUCAAUAUAAAGGAAAUGCUACCCAUAGUUCCAAAGCUUAGUUAUUCAAAUAUGAGUCAGAUAUGGUACUAAUAUUAGUUUAAAAAAGGCACAUGUAGUUGGUCAGCCAAUGUUCCUUCUUGAGUUUCAAAAUACACGUACGCCACUUAAAGAGAGACAUGAGUGAAUAGUAUUUCUUUGUGCCAUCUUCUCCAUCAUGGAUGGGCAACGAACAUUGCGUUGUAUAGAAAGAAGAGUUAUAUCCACCUUUUACAUAGAUUAUGAUUUGCCUAAUUUCGAAGCUUAUUUGUUCAAAUAUGAGUUUGAUAUGGUACUGAUAUUAAUUAAACAAACACACAUUUAAUUGUCAGCUAAUGUUCCUACUUCAGUUUUGAAAUGCAUGUCCGCCCCUUAUAGAGAGACAGAAGAGGUUUGUAUUUCUCCAGGCGCUCUGGUCAUCAUGGUUGAGGGAUGAACUUUGUAUAUCGUAUAGGUUGAAGCUAUCAUCUGCCAACAAUCAUCACUUUUGGAGAUCUCAACAGGGAGCCUUUUUUAAGUAGUAGGGUCAUAUUAUAUUAAUGCACGCACCAAAUUACAACACACAUAGCAUCCCUCGGCAGACUUCUAGAGAUAGUACGCAUGGGUCUAUAAGGACGCACUAUUGGGGUAGAAUCCGCAAUGCAUUUGUGACACCCCGAUUGAGAGAACCGGAGGUCCUCGUGUUCCAGCCCAGAGAUCCAUGUCUUCUGGAACAUGACUAUAACUUGGUACAUGUAGACCAAAAUAAAUAAGUACUUAUGUACAAUAGCGUCUUAAUAGUACAAUCCUCUUGCACAGCAGGUGGACACGUCUAAGUGUCAGAAGCUCAAGGGCUUUAUUCUAUGAGUGACUUAAGGAAGUACUAAAGACGGAAAUAAUACUAAUGACACAACGGAAGACGGGGUACCGGCGGGGCUCCAAUCCAAAGAGACACUGCUGGGACACCAUCUAGUCCAGGUACAUGAACUCUUCGGGAAACUCUUCUAUUGGCUCUCCAGUAUCUGGAAUGAUAAGGCAGGUGAGUACUUUGAAUGUACUCACAAGCCCACAAAUAAUCCAAAGCAAGCAAGAACAGAACAAAUAAACAUAGCAACGAAGUAAAGAUUAGUGAAGCUACUACUAUCAAGACUACUCCAUAAACUUCUCAUUUGCUUGUUUAACGUCCACUGGACCUCUUCCUGGUGAAGGAAAUAUGCCCUAGAGGCAAUAAUAAAGUUAUUAUUUAUUUCCUUAUAUCAUGAUAAAUAUUUAUUAUUCAUGCUAGAAUUGUAUUAACCGGAAACAUAAUACAUGUGUGAAUAUAUAGACAAACAGAGUGUCACUAGUAUGCCUCUACUUGACUAGCUCGUUAAUCAAAGAUGGUUAUGUUUCCUAGCCAUAGACAUAAGUUGUCAUUUGAUUAACGAGAUCACCUCAUUAGGAGAAUGACGUGAUUGACUUGACCCAUUCCGUUAGCUUAGCACCCGAUCGUUUAGUAUGUUGCUAUUGCUUUCUUCAUGACCUAUACAUGUUCCUCUGACUAUGAGAUUAUGCAACUCCCGUUUACCGGAGGAACACUUUGUGUGCUACCAAACGUCACAAUGUAAAUGGGUGAUUAUAAAGGUGCUCUACAGGUGUCUCCAAAGGUACUUGUUGGGUUGGCGUAUUUCGAGUUUAGGAUUUGUCACUCCGAUUGUCGGAGAGGUAUCUCUGGGCCCACUCGGUAAUGCACAUCACUAUAAGCCUUGCAAGCAUUGUGACUAAUAAGUUAGUUGCGGGAUGAUGUGUUACGGAACGAGUAAAGAGACUUGCCGGUAACGAGAUUGAACUAGGUAUCGAGAUACCGACGAUCGAAUCUCGGGCAAGUAACAUACUGAUGACAAAGGGAACAACGUAUGUUGUUAUACGGUCUGACCGAUAAAGAUCUUCGUAGAAUAUGUGGGAGCCAAUAUGGGCAUCCAGGUCCCGCUAUUGGUUAUUGACCGAAGACGUGUCUCGGUCAUGUCUACAUAGUUCUCGAACCCGUAGGGUCCGCACGCUUAAAGUUACGAUGACAGUUUUAUUAUGAGUUUAUGUAUGUUGAUGCACCGAAGGAGUUCGGAGUCCCGGAUGAGAUCGGGGACAUGACGAGGAGUCUCGAAAUGGUCGAGACGUAAAGAUCGAUAUAUUGGACGACUAUAUUCGGACUUCGGAAAGGUUCUGAGUGAUUCGGGUAUUUUUCGGAGUACCGGAGAGUUACGGGAAUACGUAUUGGGCCUUAUUGGGCCAUACGGGAAAGAAGAAAAAGGGCCUCAAGGGUGGCCGCACCCCUCCCCUUGGUCUGGUCCGAAUUGGACUAGGGAAGCGGGGCGCCCCCUUCCUUCCUUCUCUUUUUCCCUUCCUCUUUUCCUAUUCCAUAUGGGAGGUGGAAUCCUACUAGGACUAGGGAGUCCUAGUAGGACUCCACACUUGGUGCGCCCCCUCCUAGGGCCGGCCUCCUCCUCCCUUGCUCCUUUAUAUACGGGGGCAGGGGGGCACCCCAGAGACACAACAAUUGAUCCUUGAGAUCUUUUAGCCGUGUGCGGUGCCCCCCUCCACCAAAUUACACCUCGAUAAUAUCAUUGCGGAGCUUAGGCAAAGCCCUGCGUCGGUAGAACAUCAUCAUCGUCACCACGCCGUCGUGCUGACGAAACUCUCCCUCAACACUCGGCUGGAUCGGAGUUCGAGGGACGUCAUCGAGCUGAACGUGUGCAGAACUCGGAGGUGCCGUGCGUUUGGUACUUGAUCGGUCGGAUCGUGAAGACGUACGACUACAUCAACCACGUUGUGAUAACGCUUCCGCUGUCGGUCUACGAGGGUACGUGGACAACACUCUCCCCUCUCGUUGCUAUGCAUCGCCAUGAUCUUGCGUGGGCGUAGGAAUUUUUUUGAAAUUACUACGUUCCCCAACAGUGGCAUCCGAGCCUGGUUUUAUGCGUUGAUGCUAUGCACGAGUAGAACACAAGUGAGUUGUGGGCGAUAUAAGUCAUACUGCUUACCAGCAUGUCAUACUUUGGUUCAGCGGUAUUGUGAGAUGAAGCGGCCCGGACCGACAUUACGCGUACGCUUACGCGAGACUAGUUUCACCGUUCGGAGCACUCGUUGCUUAAAGGUGACUGGCGGGUGUCUGUCUCUCUCACUUUAGUUGAACCGAGUGUGGCUACGCCCGGUCCUUGCGAAGGUUAAAACAGCACCAACUUGACAAACUAUCGUUGUGGUUUUGAUGCGUAGGUAAGAACGGUUCUUGCUAAGCCCGUAGCAGCCACGUAAAACUUGCAACAACAAAGUAGAGGACGUCUAACUUGUUUUUGCAGGGCAUGUUGUGAUGUGAUAUGGUCAAGACAUGAUGUGAUAUAAUGUGUUGUAUGAGAUGAUCAUGUUUUGUAACCGAGUUAUCGGCAACUGGCAGGAGCCAUAUGGUUGUCGCUUUAUUGUAUGAGAUGCAAUCGCCAUGUAAUAGUUUUACUUUAUCACUAAACGGUAGCGAUAGUCGUAAAAGCAAUAAGUUGGCGAGACGACAACGAUGCUACGAUGGAGAUCAAGGUGUCGCGCCGGUGACGAUGGUGAUCAUGACGGUGCUUCGGAGAUGGAUAUCACAAGCACGGUGCUUCGGAGAUGGAGAUCACAAGCACAAGAUGAUGAUGGCCAUAUCAUAUCACUUAUAUUGAUUGCAUGUGAUGUUAAUCCUUUAUGCAUCUUAUCUUGCUUUGAUUGACGGUAGCAUUAUAAGAUGAUCUCUCACUAAAAUUUCAAGAUAAAAGUGUUCUCCCUGAGUAUGCACCGUUGCAAAAGUUCUUCGUGCUGAGACACCACGUGUUAAUCGGGUGUGAUAGGCUCUACGUUCAAAUACAACGGGUGCAAAACAGUUGCACACGCGGAAUACUCAGGUUAAACUUGACGAGCCUAGCAUAUACAGAUAUGGCCUCGGAACACAGAGACCGAAAGGUCGAGCGUGAAUCAUAUAGUAGAUAUGAUCAACGUAGUGAUGUUCACCAUUGAAACUACUCCAUCUCACGUGUUAAUCGGAUAUGGUUUAGUUGCUUUGGAUCACGUAAUCACUUAGAUGAUUAGAGAGAUGUCUAUCUAAGUGGGAGUUCUUAAGUAAUAUGAUUAAUUGAACUUAAAUUUAUCAUGAACUUAGUCCUGAUAGUAUUUUGCAAAUUAUGUUGUAGAUCAAUAGCUCGCGUUGUUGCUUCCCUGUGUUUAUUUUUUGUUCCUAGAGAAAAAUUAUGUUGAAAGAUGUUAGUAGCAAAGAUGCGGAUUGGAUCCGUGAUCUGAGGAUUAUCCUCAUUGCUGCACAGAAAAAUUAUGUCCUUGAUGCACCGCUAGGUGACAGACCUAUUGCAGGAGCAGAUGCAGACGUUAUGAACGUUUGGCUAGCUCAAUAUGAUGACUACUUGAUAGUUUAGUGCACCAUGCUUAACGACUUAGAAUCGGGACUUCAAAGACGUUUUGAACGUCAUGGACCAUAUGAGAUGUUCCAGGAGUUGAAGUUAAUAUUUCAAGCAAAUACCCGAGUUGAGAGAUAUGAAAUCUCCAACAAGUUCUAUAGCAAAAAGAUGGAGGAGAAUCGCUCAACUAGUGAGCAUGUGCUCAGAUUGUCUGGGUACUACAAUCGCUUGAAUCAAGUGGGAGUUUAUCUUCCAGAUAAAAUAGUGAUUGACAGAAUUCUCUAGUCACCAUCACCAAGUUAGUAGAACUUCGUGAUGAACUAUGGUAUGCAAGGGAUGACGAAAGUAAUUCCCGAGCUCUUCGUGAUGCUGAAAUCGAUGAAGGUAGAAAUCAAGAAAAACAUCAAGUGUUGAUGGUUGACGAGACCACUUCAAGUGUUGAUGGUUGACGAGACCGCUAGUUUCAAGAAAAGGGCAAAGGGAAAAAGGGGAACUUCAAAAAGAACGGCAAGCAAGUUGCUGCUCAAGUGAAGAAGCCUAAGUCUGGUCCUAAGCCUGAGACUAAGUACUUCUACUGCAAAGGGACUGGUCACUGGAAGCGGAACUACCCCAACUAUUUGGUGGAUAAGAAGGAUGGCAAAGUGAACAAAGGUAUAUUUGAUAUACAGAUUAUUGAUGUGUACUUUACUAGUGUUUAUAGCAAUCCCUCGGUAAUUGAUACUGGUUCAAUUGCUAAGAGUAGUAACUCGAAACGGGAGUUGCAGAAUAAACAGAGACUAGUAAAAGUGAACAAAGGUAUAUUUGAUAUACAGAUUAUUGAUGUGUACUUUACUAGUGUUUAUAGCAACCCCUCGGUAAUUGAUACUGGUUCAGUUGCUAAAGAGUAGUAACUCGAAAACGGGAGUUGCAGAAUAAACAGAGACUAGUAAAAGGCGAGGUGACGAUGUGUGUUGGAAGUAGUUCCAAGAUUGAUAUGAUCAUCAUCGCACACUCCCUGUACUUUUGGGAUUAGUGUUGACACUAAAUAAGUGUUAUUUGGUGUUUGCGUUGAGCAUGAAUAUGAUCUGAUCAUGUUUAUUGCAAUACGGUUAUUCAUUUAAGUUAGAGAACAAUUGUUGUUCUGUUUACAUGAAUAAAACCUUUAUGGUCAUACACACCAACGAAAAUGGUUUGUUGGAUCUCGAUCGUAGUGAUACACAUAUUCAUAAUAUUGAAGCCAAAAGAUGCAAAGUUAAUAAUGAUAGUGCAACUUAUUUGUGGUACUGCCGUUUAGGUCAUAUUGGUGUAAAGCGCGUGAAGAAACUCCAUACUGAUGGGAUUUUGGAAUCACUUGAUUAUGAAUCACUUGAUGCUUGCGAACCGUGCCUCAUGGGCAAGAUGACUAAAACGCCGUUCUCCAGAACUAUGGAGAGAGCAACAGAUUUGUUGGAAAUCAUACAUACAGAUGUAUGUGGCCCGAUGAAUAUUGAGGCUCGUAGCAGGUAUCAUUAUUUUCUGACCUUCACAGAUGAUUUGAGCAGAUAUGGGUAUAUCUACUUAAUGAAACAGAAGUCUGAAACAUUUGAAAAGUUCAUAUAAUUUCAGAGUGAAGCGAAAAUCAUCGUAACAAGAAAAUAAAGUUUCUACGAUUUGAUCGUGGAGAAGAGUAUUUUAGUUACGAGUUUGGCCUUCAGUUAAAACAAUGUGAAAUAGUUUCACUACUCACGCCACCUGGAACACCACGGUGUAAUGGUGUGUCCGAAACAUCGUAACCGUACUUUAUUAGAUAUGGUGCGAUAUAUGAUGUCUCUUACCGAUCUACCACUAUCGUUUUAGGGUUAUGCAUUAGAGACAGCUACAUUCACGUUAAAUAGGGUAUCAUCUAAAUCCGUUGAGAUGACGUCUUAUGAACUGUGGUUUGGCAAGAAACCAAAGUUGUCGUGUCUUAAAGUUUGGGGUUGCGAUGCUUAUGUGAAAAAGUUUCAUCCUGAUAAGCUCAAACCCAAAUCGGAGAAAUGUGUCUUCAUAGGAUACCCAAAGGAGACAGUUGGGUACACCUUCUAUCACAGAUCCGAAGACAAGACAUUCGUUGCUUAGUAUGGAUCCUUUCUAGAGAAGGAGUUUCUCUCGAAAGAAGUGAGUGGGAGGAAAGUAGAACUUGAUGAGGUAACUGUACCUGCUCCCUUAUUGGAAAGUAGUUCAUCACAGAAAUCUGUUCCUGUGACUUCUACACCAAUUAGUGAGGAAGUUAAUGAUGAUGAUCAUGUAACUUCAGAUCAAGUUACUACCAAACCUCGUAGGUAAACCAGAGUAAGAUCCGCACCAGAGUGGUACGGUAAUCCUGUUCUGGAGGUUAUGUUACUAGACCAUGACGAACCUACGAACUAUGAAGAAGCGAUGGUGAGCCCAGAUUCCGCAAAAUGGCUUGAGGCCAUGAAAUCUGAGAUGAGAUCCAUGUAUGAGAACAAAGUGUGGACUUUGGUUGACUUGCCCGAUGAUCGGCAAGCAAUUGAGAAUAAAUGGAUCUUCAAGAGGAAGACGGAUGCUGAUAGUAGUGUUACUAUCUACAAAGCUAGAAUUGUCGCAAAAAAGGUUUUCGACAAGUUCAAAGUGUUGACUACGAUGAAAGUUUCUCACUCGUAUCUAUGCUUAAGUCUGUCCGAAUCAUGUUAGCAAUUGCCGCAUUUUAUAAAAUAUGGCAAAUGGAUAAACAAAACUGCAUUCCUUAAAGGAUUUAUUAAAGAAGAGUUGUAUAUGAUGCAACCAGAAUGUUUUGUCAAUCCUAAAGGUGCUAACAAAAUAUGCAAGCUCCAGCGAUCCAUCAAUGGACUGGUGCAAGCAUCUCGGAGUUGGAAUAUACGCUUUGAUAAGUUGAUCAAAGCAUAUAGUUGUAUACAGACUUGCGGUGAAGCCUGUAUUUACAAGAAAGUGAGUGGGAGCACUACAGCAUUUCUGAUAAGUAUAUGUGAAUGACAUAUUGUUGAUCGGAAAUAAUGUAGAAUUAUUCUGCAAAGCAUAAAGGAGUGUUUGAAAGGAGUUUUUCAAAGAUAGACCUCGGUGAAGCUGCUUACAUAUUGAGCAUCAAGAUCUAUAGAGAUAGAUGAAGACGCUUGAUAAGUUUUUCAAUGAGUACAUACCUUAACAAGAUUUUGAAGUAGUUCAAAAUAGAACAGUCAAAGAAAAGAGUUCUUGCCUGUGUUACAAGGUGUGAAAUUGAGUAAAGACUCAAAGCCCGACCACGGCAAAAGAUAGGAAGAGAAUGAAAGUCAUUCCCUAUGCCUUGGCCAUAGGUUCUAUAAAGUAUGUCAUGCUUUGUACCAGAUCUAUUGUAUACCCUACACUGAUUUUGGCAAGGGAGUACAAUAGUGAUCUAGGAGUAGAUCACUGGACAGCGGUCAAAAUUAUCCUUACUGGAAUAAGGAUAUGUUUCUCGAUUAUGGAAGUGACAAAAGGCUCGUCGUAAAAGGUUACGUCGAUGCAAGUUUUGACACUAAUCUAGAUGACUCUAAGUCUCGGUCUAGAUACAUAUUGAAAGUGGGAGCAAUUAGCUAGAGUAGCUCCAUGCAGAGCAUUGUAGACAUAGAAAUUUGCAAAAUACUUACGGAUCUGAAUGUGACAGACCCGUUGACUAAAAUUAUCUCACAAGCAAAACAUGAUCACACCUUAGUACUCUUUGGGUGUUAAUCACAUAGCGAUGUGAACUAGAUUACUGACUCUAGUAAACCCUUUGGGUGAUGGUCACAUGACGAUGUGAACCAUGGGUGUUAAUCACAUGGUGAUGUGAACUAUUCAUGUUAAAUCACAUGGCGAUGUGAACUAGAUUAUUGACUCUAGUGCAAGUGGGAGACUGAAGGAAAUAUGCCCUAGAGGCAAUAAUAAAGUUAUUAUUUAUUUCCUUAUAUCAUGAUAAAUGUUUAUUAUUCAUGCUAGAAUUGUAUUAACCGGAAACAUAAUACAUGUGUGAAUAUAUAGACAAACAGAGUGUCACUAGUAUGCCUCUACUUGACUAGCUCGUUAAUCAAAGAUGGUUAUGUUUCCUAGCCAUAGACAUAAGUUGUCAUUUGAUUAACGAGAUCACCUCAUUAGGAGAAUGACGUGAUUGACUUGACCCAUUCCGUUAGCUUAGCACCCAAUCGUUUAGUAUGUUGCUAUUGCUUUCUUCAUGACCUAUACAUGUUCCUCUGACUAUGAGAUUAUGCAACUCUCGUUUACCGGAGGAACACUUUGUGUGCUACCAAACGUCACAACGUAAAUGGGUGAUUAUAAAGGUGCUCUAUAGGUGUCUCCAAAGGUACUUGUUGGGUUGGCGUAUUUCGAGAUUAGGAUUUGUCACUCCGAUUGUCGGAGAGGUAUCUCUGGGCCCACUCGGUAAUGCACAUCACUAUAAGCCUUGCAAGCAUUGUGACUAAUGAGUUAGUUGCGGGAUGAUGUGUUACGGAACGAGUAAAGAGACUUGCCGGUAACGAGAUUGAACUAGGUAUCGAGAUACCGACGAUCGAAUCUCGGGCAAGUAACAUACUGAUGACAAAGGGAACAACGUAUGUUGUUAUGCGGUCUGACCGAUAAAGAUCUUCGUAGAAUAUGUGGGAGCCAAUAUGGGCAUCCAGGUCCCGCUAUUGGUUAUUGACCGGAGACGUGUCUCGGUCAUGUCUACAUAGUUCUCGAACCCGUAGGGUCCGCACGCUUAAAGUUACGAUGACAGUUUUAUUAUGAGUUUAUGUAUGUUGAUGUACCGAAGGAGUUCGGAGUCCCGGAUGAGAUCGGGGACAUGAUGAGGAGUCUCGAAAUGGUCGGGACGUAAAGAUCGAUAUAUUGGACGACUAUAUUCGGACUUCGGAAAGGUUCUGAGUGAUUCGGGUAUUUUUCGGAGUACCGGAGAGUUACGGGAAUACGUAUUGGGCCUUUUUGGGCCAUACGGGAAAGAAGAAAAAGGGCCUAAGGGUGGCCGCACCCCUCCCCUUGGUCUGGUCCGAAUUGGACUAGGGAAGGGGGGCGCCCCCUUCCUUCCUUCUCUUUUUCCCUUCCUCUUUUCCUAUUCCAUAUGGGAGGUGGAAUCCUACUAGGACUAGGGAGUCCUAGUAGGACUCCACACUUGGUGCGCCCCUCCUAGGGCCGGCCUCCUCCUCCCUUGCUCCUUUAUAUACGGGGGCAGGGGGGCACCCCAGAGACACAACAAUUGAUCCUUGAGAUCUUUUAGCCGUGUGCGGUGCCCCCCUCCACCAAAUUACACCUCGAUAAUAUCAUUGCGGAGCUUAGGCAAAGCCCUGCGUCGGUAGAACAUCAUCAUCGUCACCACGCCGUCGUGCUGACGAAACUCUCCCUCAACACUCGGCUGGAUCGGAGUUCGAGGGACGUCAUCGAGCUGAACGUGUGCAGAACUCGGAGGUGCCAUGCGUUCGGUACUUGAUCGGUCGGAUCGUGAAGACGUACGACUACAUCAACCGCGUUGUGAUAACGCUUCCGCUGUCGGUCUACGAGGGUACGUGGACAACACUCUCCCCUCUCGUUGCUAUGCAUCACCAUGAUCUUGCGUGUGCGUAGGAAUUUUUUUGAAAUUACUACGUUCCCCAACACCUGGCACGAGUCCUGCUCAAACGACUCAUCGACAUAACUUACCAGUUACCACAGCUAUUAGAGUUUAAAGUAAAGGAAUUUUGGUGCUUGGUCAAAUAAUGUGACCUAACACAAACGGUGUCCCAUUGCCAGGGACUCGGCUAUUCGAAUAGUUUGAACACACACUCUGUAGAGGUCACACAGUUUACCCACACCAUAGACUCUUUGUCUAACUAUUCUCAUUCAUAGCAUGGCACUCUAACUAUGCCUCCGACCUCCCGCGGGCUUGCCCUGGCAGAGAGAAUCUGGGUCCUUUCCACCCCGUGUUGCACCACUUGUAUUCCCUUGGGAAUCUUUUCUCUUAAGCUCAUCCACAGACCCUGGCUCUCUUGACUGAAUGGCAACUUCCAAGCCAGAGGAAGUCUACACAUUCCAUCUUCCCUCUUCGGAAACACACGAAAGAAACAUAACUACAAACGUAAUAAAGCCCUCCCAUUCGGACAGAUGUGCUUGUAAUGAGGAUGUUCGGCUUCGUGGCAGUUGGAUUGACCAGCUAUUUAAAGUUGGGUUAACAAGGAAAGUAAAACCGUGACUUUGUAAGCUACUGAAAUCCACAACUUGUUAUCCUACUAGGGUGAAGUAUUCACGAGGAUUCAUCAUCCUAAGUAAAGUCUUUCCCCGAGAUUCUUCGUGAACGUUGCUACCUAUUUUGCUUAUGAUUCAUGUUGGCAAAAUAAUUACCGGUUAUGAGUCAUAGUUAAACUUCUAUUCUACUAGGACCAAAUCAAGGCAUCCUUUAUAGUGACUCACUAUGCUAUUUCAACCACAACAAACUUAACAUAAGCAAAGGGAAGCAACAAACAACAUUGAAAGAAAAGUAAUGUUGGAAAAGAAAUGUAAGUUGAACCCAUGGCCUUGCAAUGCCAUCAAGCAAAUGGAGGUGGUGGCUUGCCAUGCUCAAAUGGAGUAGCAAAGCAUUCUUUGUCUUCACCUCCUGGAUUAUUUCCUUCUGGAAAUAAUUUAAAAAGCAAAAUACAAUAAAGCAAAUAAGUCAAAAGUGUGUCUAGCAGCAUCUAGACAAGUCAAAUAAAUCUCAAAUUAUUCCCACAGAAGGAGAAUAAUAUAAGAAAAGUAAUGCAAAAAGAAUAAACUCAUUUGGAGUUAUGGUUUAAGAGAUAUUACUCAUCACAGCUUAGUCAACAGAAUAUAAGUAAAACAAAAAAUAGCCUGAAAUAGAAAAUCCACCAAGCGGCCACGUCGAAGGCGUAUUUCAGAAAUACGCCCCCACUUACGUACCAGUUCGGCAGGGGUUGUAUCACUGACGGGUGGGGCCAUCCUGUCAGUUUUCUUUUUUAAACACCCGGCCGAGGUGUGGUGUUCUAGCGAGGUCUCACCGGCGACUACAGAGCGCUAGGGCUCGAACGAGUGGGAUCACCUUUUGAGAGGUAUACGCAUUUAUUGUGAUUUGUUAGAAUACUCUAUGUGCUUCACUUAUAUCUUUUGAGCUAGGCAGUUGCUCUGGUGCUUCAUUAUAUCUUUUAGAGCACCGUGGUGGUUAUAUUUUAUAGAAAUGAUUGCACUCUCAUGCUUCACUUAAAUCUUUUUGAGAGUCCAUAUAUAGGAAGUGGUAAUGUGCACGUGUUAUAAGACUAGUCCGAGAAGGAUAGGUAUUCAAGGGGGAUACAAUAAAAACUUUCAUGUAGAUCACUAAAUAUGAAAUGUAUAAUUUAAUGAUAUUGAUGUUGUAAUAUGAAAGGAUAUUAGUUCAUGAUCAUUGGUUAGUAGAAAUAUCAGUAUUAAAACUUGUUAUUAACUUCUCAAAUAAGUGUUGGUCAUGGCAUGGUGGCCAGGUUUGAGCAUUUGUAUUUCUGAUUGAAAUCCUUGAGUGCUAUUAUAAUCGGAUGCGCGCGAUGGUUAACUCCUACCAACAAAUUCCCUAGGGGCAUAUGUGAGUAGUACUUUGCUUAGAAGGAUAAUAGGAGUUCACAAUAAGUAUGUCAGUUCUUUAUGACUAAUGUGAGUCCAUGGAUUAUAUGCACUCCUACCUUUCCGCAAUUUGCUAGGCUCUGCUGUACCGUGCAUUGCCCUUUCUCACCUCGAGAGUUGGUGCACACUUCGCUGGUGCAUCCAAACCCCAUGGUAUGAUACGCUCUAUCAUACAUAAGCCUCCUUAUAUCUUCUUCGAAACAGCCGCCAUACCUACCUAUUAUGGCAUUUUCACAACCAUUCCGAGAUAUAUUGCCAUGCAACUUCCACUGUUCCAUUUUCAUAACAUGUGUGUUCAACGUCAUAUUGCUUUGCAUGAUCAUAUAAAGUUGGCAUGAUAUUUGUGGCAUUGUCACCGUUCAUCAUGAUUAUACAUGUUACGCUAGAUCAUUGCACAUCCUGGUACACUAUCAGAGGCAUUAAUAUAGAGUCAUAUUGUUCAAGUUAUCGAGUUGUAUGUAAAUACAAGUGUGAUGAUAAUCAUUAUUAGAGCAUUGUCCCAGUUGAGGAAACGAUGAUGGAGACUAUGAUUCCCGCACAAGUCGGGAUGAGACUCCGGACGAAAAAAAAGAGAGAAAAGAGAGAAGGGGCAAUGUUACUAUCCUUUUUUUUUGCAAGGUAAUGCUACUAUCCUUUUGAACACUUGUGCUUUAGAGUAGCACCAUGUUCUUCACAUAGAGAGUCUCCUGAGUUAUCACUUUCAUAUACUAGUCGUAUUUUUUCAUUAUAGAAUUUGACUUGCAUAUUCUGAUGAUGGGUUUCCUCAAAUGGCCGAGGCCUUCAUGAUCAAGCAAGUUGGAUGCACAUCCACUUAGUUUUCAUUGAGCUUUCAUACACUUAUAGCUCUUAGUUCAUCUAUUGCAUGGCAAUCCCUACUCCUCGCAUUGACAUCGAUUGAUGGGCAUGUCCAUAGCCCGUUGAUUAGCCGCGUCGAUGCGAGACUUUCUUCCUUUUCAACUUUCCUUAUUAAUCUUUAUCACCGCAUUCUAUUCAACUUAUAGUGUUAUAUCCAUGGCUCACGUUCAUGUAUUGCAUAGGAUUGAAAAUGCUGAAGCGCAUUAGAAGUACGAUCCAUUUGCCUUGUUUGACACCGGGGUGCUCAUGAUUUAUAUUUAUGCAGUGAAGGUGGGGUCAUGCCAUGCUAACAUAAUAAAAUGAGUGGGGAAAGCAUUCAUUGAGGAUUGUAUAUUUUAAAAGGUUAAUGAUUAUGUUUCUUAUAUUCAUGGAUAUUAUUAUGUUGACAUUGUUACUUCAUCGUUUCUCAAUAAUUAUACCGUAAAAAUAUUACAUGAUACACAUGUUAGGUAGCAUUUCACAUCAAAAAUUCUUUUUUUAUCAUUUACCUACUCGAGGACGAGAAGGAAUUAAGCUUGAGGAUGCUAAUACGUCUUCAACGUAUCUAUAAUUUUUGAUUGUUAUAUUAUCAAUCUUGGAUGCUUUAUAUGCUUUGUAUGCUAUUUUAUAUCUUUUUGGGACUAACGUAUUAUUUUGAAUAUUUUUUGAAUUGUUUGGAUUGCUUACCACAUGUGUCAUGUGGUUUGGGACUAACCUAUUAACCCAAUGCCAGUGCCAGUUACUGUUUUUUUGCUUGUUUUUGGCUUUUUAGAAAACCAAUACCAAACGAAGUCCAAACACAAUGAAACUUUACGGUGAUUUUUUCUGGACAAGAAGGGACCCUAAAAGGUUCGGGUGGAGGCUAGAAGAUCUACGGGAGAGCCACAAGCUCACAGGGUGCGCCCCCUGAGCUCAUGGGCCGCACGCAGCUCCAUUUGACCUAAUUUCACCUCCAUAAAUUCACAUAUAUUCCCAAACCAAUAGAGAGCCACCCGAAAUACUUUUUCCGCCGCCCAAGCUUCUAUUUUUCCGUGAGCCCAUAUGGAGGCCUUUUCCGGUACUCUGUCGAAGGGGGAAUCGAUCACAGAGCGCUUCUACAUCAUGCUUGCUGUCUUACAAUGAUGCAUGAGUAGUUCACGACAGACCUACGUGUCCAUAACUAGUAGCUAGAUGGCUUCUUAUCUCUCUUUGAUCUUCAAUACAAUGUUGUCCUCGAUCUUCUUGGAGUUCUUGUAAGUGCAUCUAGUGCCACCCCUAGUUGGUUUUGGAGUAUUGCCGACAAACUUGGUUGAGGGACUAAUGUGUUUGUGAGAAUUGCAGGAUAACACAGGUAGUAGUCCCUCAUUGAUUCGGUUUACCUACCAGAGAUGACCCCUAAAAAUGUGUGAAGACAUUGAAGACAAUGGUGGUCUGUGAAGAUAUUCACAUUGAAGACUAUGACAUGAGAAGACAUCGCAUGAAGACUAUGGAGUGCGAAGACAUAGUUGUUUCGUAGUUUCCUUUUCUUCUUUGUUGAGUCAUAGGAACCGCCGUACUGUUAAGUGGGGUCCAAGUGAACAAAGUCCGAGUGACUGAUGUGAUGCUCAACCAAAUCCUAUGUCUUCGAGCGAAGACAAUGAGUGCAAAUCUUAUCCAGAGUUGGAUGAGUCAGCUUUACUUAUAGCACAAGUCAAGCUGCCGCGUGUGUUUGAAAUCUGACUGUUGGACACGUGUCAGUUCCUUAGUGGCCCAGGGUCAUUUUGGACAAAUUAGGUCGGGUUGCCUCCUGGCUAUAAAUAGCCCACCCCCUACACCAUAAAUUGGUGGCUGCUCAUAGUUAGUGCACGGCUUUUGUCGUUUGAGAGCAACCCACCUCCGAAGCAUUUGAGAGAGAGAUCCUUGCGAGGACAAAGCCCAAAACACCCAGAGCCAAAGAGUGUUAGGCAUCACUGAAGUCUUUCUGUCCGCGUGAUCUGAAGACUUGUUACACUUGAGGACUGUGAAUCCUCCAGCCGGUUAGGCGUCGCGUUCUGAGCAUCCAAGAGUCAUUGUGGAUUGCCGGUGAACGAAAUCUAUGAAGGUUUGGAAGUCUACCUUGAAGACUUACCAGAGUGAUUGGGAGAGGACUAAGUGUCCUUAACUCAAGGGGAAUAAGGUGAAGACGCUUUCUUCUGAGUUAAAUCUCAGCCUCCCUAACCAGACGUACAGUUGUCACGGCAACUGGAACUGGUCCAACAAAUCCCUGUCCUCCCCAAGCAACUGGUUCUAUCUCUUAUCUCUCUUUACUUACAGUUUGUCUUCGUGAAGUCAUUACCUGCUUGCAUGAUCUGAUUGUCUUCACUGUGUGAAGACUGCUGUUGUUUGGCUUCAUACUAUCUUCCAUCCUGAUCCAUACUACCUAACUGCUGAUAGUCUUCGUGCUUUCACUUCAUUGCUUACUUGACUAUGGCUUGUCUAGUGUAGUCUACCUUCCGCUGCAUAUCAAUAGGUUCAUUUUUAUUGUUUGUCUUCAAAGCCCCUGUGUUUUGAAGACUUUCAUAAAAAUUGCCUAUUCACGCCCCCCCCCCUCUAGUCGAUAACUAGCACUUUCAGUUCUAUCCGAUGUAAUCUUCUUUUUGUUGGGGAACGUAGCAGAAAUUCAAAAUUUUCUACGCAUCACCAAGAUCAAUCUAUGGAGUACUCUAGCAAAGAAGGGAAGGAGAGUGGAUCUACAUACCCUUGUAGAUCGCGAUGCGGAAGCGUUGCAAGAACGCGGAUGAGGGAGUCGUACUCGUAGCGAUUCAGAUCGCGGUUGAUUCCGAUCUAAGCACCGAAGAACGGUGCCUCCGCGUUCAACACACGUGCAGCCCGGUGACGUCUCCCACGCCUUGAUCCAGCAAGGAGAGAGGGAGAGGUUGGGGAAGACUCCAUCCAGCAGCAGCACGACGGCGUGGUGGUGAUGGAGGAGCGUGGCAAUCCCGCAGGGCUUCGCCAAGCACCGCGGGAGAGGAGGAGGAGGGAGAGGGGUAGGGCUGCGCCAAAAGGAGACUUUCUCGUGUCGUUAUGGCAGCCCAAACCUCAACUAUAUAUAGGGGGGGAGGGGGCUGCGCCCCCCUCUAGGGUUCCCACCCCCAAGAGGAGGCGGCCAGCCCUAGAUCCCAUCAAGGGGGGGCGGCCAAGGGGAGGAGAGGGGGGGCGCCCCACUAGAUGGGCCCUAAGGCCCAUCUGGACCUAGGGUUUGCCCCCUCCCACUCUCCCAUGCGCCUUGGGCCUUGGUGGGGGGGCGCACCAGCCCACCUGGGGCUGGUCCCCUCCCACACUUGGCCCACGCAGCCUUCUGGGGCUGGUGGCCCCACUUGGUGGACCCCCGGGACCCUCCCGAUGGUCCCGGUACAUUACCGAUAACACCCGAAACUUUUCCGGUGACCAAAACAGGACUUCCCAUAUAUAAAUCUUUACCUCCGGACCAUUCCGGAACUCCUCGUGACGUCCGGGAUCUCAUCCGGGAUUUCGAACAACAUUCGGUAACCACGUACAUACUCUCCAUAUAACCCUAGCGUCAUCGAACCUUAAGCGUGUAGACCCUACGGGUUCGGGAACCAUGCAGACAUGACCGAGACGUUCUCCGGUCAAUAACCAACAGCGGGAUCUGGAUACCCAUGUUGGCUCCCACAUGUUCCACGAUGAUCUCAUCGGAUGAACCACGAUGUCGGGGAUUCAAUCAAUCCCGUAUUCAAUUCCCUUUGUCUAUCGAUAUGUUACUUGCCCGAGAUUCGAUCGUCGGUAUCCCUAUACCUUGUUCAAUCUCGUUACCGGCAAGUCUCUUUACUCGUUCCGUAACUCACAUCAUCCCGUGAUCAACUCCUUGGUCACAUUGUGCACAUUAUGAUGAUGUCCUACCGAGUGGGCCCAGAGAUACCUCUCCGUUUACACGGAGUGACAAAUCCCAGUCUCGAUUCGUGCCAACCCAACAGAUACUUUCGGAGAUACCUGUAGUGCACCUUUAUAGUCACCCAGUUACGUUGUGACGUUUGGUACACCCAAAGCAUUCCUACGGUAUCCGGGAGUUGCACAAUCUCAUGGUCUAAGGAAAUGAUACUUGACAUUAGAAAAGCUCUGAGCAAACGAACUACACGAUCUUGUGCUAGGCUUAGGAUUGGGUCUUGUCCAUCACAUCAUUCUCCUAAUGAUGUGAUCCCGUUAUCAACGACAUCCAAUGUCCAUGGUCAGGAAACCGUAACCAUCUAUUGAUCAACGAGCUAGUCAACUAGAGGCUUACUAGGGACAUGGUGUUGUCUAUGUAUCCACACAUGUAUCUGAGUUUCCUAUCAAUACAAUUCUAGCAUGGAUAAUAAACGAUUAUCAUGAACAAGGAAAUAUAAUAAUAACCUAUUUAUUAUUGCCUCUAGGGCAUAUUUCCAACACUUUUGUGGUGUGUUUGUUGGGAUCCGAUGAAUUGUGGGUUUAUGAUCAGAUUAUUCAUUGAAAGUAGUUGAGUCUUGUCUGAAUUUUAUUAUGCAUGAUUGUUAUAGCUUUGUAUUUCCCUCCGAUCUAUCUGUUUGGUUUGCCAACUAGAUUGAUUUAUCUUCAGUGGCAUACGUGCUUUGUAAUGGGUUCAAUCUUGCGGUGUCCUCACACAAUGAUAGAAGGGGAAGCGAGACACGUAUAAUAUUGUUGCCAUUAAGUAUAAAAUUAUGGGUGUAAUCAUAUUGCUUGAGUUUACUUUGUCUACAUCAUGUCAUCUUGCUUUAGGCGUUACUCUGUUCGUCAUGAACUUAAUACCACAGAUGCAUGCUAGAUAACGGUCGAUUAGUGGAAUAAUAGUAGUAGCUGUAGACAUGAGACGGUCUACUUGUCACGGACAUGAUGACUAUAUACAUGAUCAUUGCCAUGAAUACAUCAUAACUAUGUGUUUUUCUAUCAAUUACCCAACAGUAAUUUGUUUACCCACCAUAUGCUAUGUGUUCGAGAGAGAAGCCUCUAGUGAAAACUAUGGGCCCCGGGUCUACUUUUAUCAUAUUAUUAAAACCAAAAAUACCUUGCUGCAAUUUUACACUUUUUAUUUUACUUUUAUUUUUAUCUAUGUAUCACUAUCAGAAUUAAUCCUUGCAAAUAACGAGUUCAAGGGGAAUGACAACCCUCUUGCCCGCGUUGGGUGCAAGUAUUUGCUUUUCUCUGUGUAGGUGCUGCAGAAGGGAAUUAGUGUGGUUCUUCUAUUGGUUCAAUAACUUUGGUUCUCACUGAGGGAAAUACUUAUCUCUGUUGUACUGCUUCACCCAUCCUCUUCGGGGGAAAUCCCAACACAGUUUACAAGUAGCACUACCCCUCCCUCCUCCUCCAUAGAUGCUUGGUGAAGCCCUGCCUGAGCUCCACCGUAAAAUCCACCACCACGCCAUCGUGUUGGCCUUGAUCCCAUCCACCUAUCCAUGUCGCUUGCUGGAUCAAGAAGGAGACGUCACCGAGCGAUACGUGUGCAUAUCUCAGAGGUGCCGUCCGUGUGGUACUCGAUCGGAUUGGAUCACGAAGAGAGUACGACUACGCCAACCACAUUCAUUAGAAUGUUUUCGUUUUAGGUCUACAAGGGUUUGUAAACUUUUCCCCCUCGUUGCUAGCAUCUAGUUGAUUAGAUCUUGGAUGUUUUCAUUGUCUCGUAGGAAAAAAAUUGUUUUCCAUGGAACGAUUCCCAUCACUGACCUGCUUUAAAGAAGUGGGUAGGAGCUCAGGCGACCCGGGCUCAGCAGGUGGCCAGGCGGGAGGUCCCUAAGAGGUGCAUCCAAGAAUGCAACAACCUCCAAGUAGAGAAGGCGUCCCUAGCCGAGAGGAAGAGACAACAAGAGCUGGAGCUGGAGGAAGUUAAGUCUCGCCUAGCUGAUGCCGAGAGUGACGCGGCAGGCCCUUGAGAUCAUAGCCAGUGAGUCUGUCUGUGCUUCAACUCAUAAUCUAGGUGGAAAUUUUAUUUGCCGAUCUGUCAUAGAAAUUCAUUAUUUCCAGCAUCUUUUCCCGAGCCAGUGCUGUUGGAGUGUCACUUAGGAAGAAACUGCAGCAGCUUGGAGAGUUGAACAAGAUCGCGAGGCCGACAAUGGAGGGUAUUUUCAAGGCCCUAUGGCCUGGAGAAAGGUUGUCGGAAAACCAGUUUGACCUCCCGCCGCCUCCCGGAGGGGCAUGCUCGGAUUGCCCUGUGAAAGGCCUUAGUGGCCUGAGAAGAUGCUCGUCAAGCUUGGGCCAUGCUCCAGACCCACUAUCCGGGCUUGAACAUCUGUCCUAUUGCCCUAGUUGGUCCAAAAGGACCUGUCGGUAAGGAGAUUAUGCCUAAUGGCAAUUUCCAACGGAUCAUGCCCUAUACUAGGAUGUCCGAGCAGGAUUGUCGUUUGGAAAAUAUUAUUGAAUAGGCUAGGAGCGAUUACCCUGGAAUGUCAAGGAUGAAAAGUUGUAUAAAAACUUCACGAAUUUCGCUCUAGCCAUGUUUAUUUUUUUCUAUACCGACAACAUGAUAGGUUUGGUCCGACCUGUUUAGCAUACGCUUGCAUUAACCAGCCUUUGGCUUCAACCUCCACAACCAAACGGGGAGGCCUUAUAAUUGAUGUUAACGCAAGGAGUAGGGAUCGCCAUGCAACUAGGAUGCAAACAUAUCUAUGAAUAUAUGAAAUCUCUCGCAAGGAUUAAGUAGGGGUGUGUCCAACUUGUUUGCUCAUGAAGACCUCGAGCAUUUGAUAAAGCUCAUCAUCGGGAUGUACAAGGAAAGUUCUACAACAUAAAUUCCCCAAGCUAGUAUAAAACAUGAAGCUCAUGAAACUUUAAUUAGAUGCUAAUUAUCCAGACCAACAAAAGUUCUUUAGUAAGAGUCUCUAAGAAAUAUAUUUCAUCGAAACUGUCCUACUCAGCUCGAGUGAACAGUUAAAUCCAAAAAAAAUUGAAACAAAAUUUCAAAAAAAUCUAAAUUUUUUUGGUGAUAAAUGUUUUCAAUGCUUGCAAAGUUUCAUCAUGUAAUUAUAUUUGUGGAAGUCAUGCAAAAAUAAUAUCGAUGCUUCAAAAAAGUUAUUUUCGGAGUGCUGAAUUUGUUUAUUGCCGUGACGAAGAUGAAUGCCAGUCUAUGAUGAAACUUUGCAAGGAUAUAUAACAUGUGUCAAAUUAAGCCACACACAAAAAAUCAGAAAUUUUUGAAUUCUUUCUAAAUAUUUUCAGAUUUUAUUGCUCACCCGAGCUCAUAUGAGCUCGAGCUCAGUUAAUCCGUGUCCAUGUUUCAUCCUAUUCUACUAGCAAAAACCAAUGGAGCAGAUGGUAGUGACGUGGAAAAGAAACCAUAAUAAUUUUGUAGUGAUAUAUAAUUAAAGAAACAGAAAUUUGCAAUUGCAAAUUAGGGAAUCUUAAUGUCAAAUACUGAAUUCUUCCACCCACUAGCUGUGAGACAUAUCCAUUGCAGUGCCAAAUAAAGAAACUUUUCCAUGAAUUAAUAACAGCAAGACAAUGGUCCGCGUGUUGUAUAUAAUAAAUAUUACACAGGUUUUGCAUAUGUGUAGCCGGUGCAUAUAGACCUAUGAGGAAUUACGUAUGCAUGCUCAAGAACCUAUGUUCGUACAUACAUACACAAAUCAUAUAGAACAAAAGGUAUGCUCCGGUCCGAAAGCAGAGUCGUGCAGCAGAGUUGUGGACAAAAGUGAAGUUCACAAAAGACCUUCAUACGAGAUAGGCCAUUGUUUCAACUCGUAGUUUAGGCCUUGCCGGACUCCUCGCAACCCGGUGGCCUGAAGGCGAUGAAGCUGACGCACUGCACCUGGCGCAGGUUGUCGAAGCCGAUGACACGGACAUAGGCGUCAGGGUACUCCUUCUUGACCUCCUCCACCUCGUUGAGCACCUGUGUGGCGUCGGUGCACCCAAACAUGGGCAGCUUCCACAUUGUCCAGUAUCGACCGUCGUAGUACCCGGGGGAGCUGUUGUGCUCACGGAAGACGAAGCCAACCUUGCUGAACUCGAGGCAGGGCACCCACUUGGAGCGGAUCAGGUAGUCGACCUGCUUCAGGAGGGCUUCCGUGGAGAGGGGUGGCAAGUAAGACAAGGUCUCGAACUUCUUGAUGCCCUCAAUUGGCCACACCUGAAUGAAUAGAAUGCGCACAGAUGCUCAAUACUUGGUGAUAAGUCAAUUAAUUGUACUAACAAUGCUAGAAUAAAUCAGACGGCAUGCCAAAAAUUGCUCCUUAUGGGCAGCUCUCAUAUGCAUUGCUGGGUUGUUCACAAUCAAUAAAGCUUUGGUUGUACUUAGUUCUAGUAUAUGGGUCCUAUUUCGAGGAUGGGUUUGGUUAUAUACAUCGGGGAUGUUCUGUAAGUGAAUUACUUGCACUGACAAAGAAACUCAUAUCAAUUAGUG